This 1083-nucleotide ribosomal RNA is filed under the name uncultured bacterium. RNAcentral describes it as "bacterial SSU rRNA". It matches the Rfam family "Bacterial small subunit ribosomal RNA", at positions 341 to 1453 of the family's 1533-position model. The record is from RNAcentral.
ACGGGAGGCAGCAGUGGGGGAUAUUGGACAAUGGGGGAAACCUGAUCCAGCGAUGCCGCGUGAGGGAAGAAGGUUUUCGGAUUGUAAACCUCUGUGGAGGGGGACGAUAAUGACGGUACCCCUCAAGGAAGCCACGGCUAACUACGUGCCAGCAGCCGCGGUAAUACGUAGGUGGCGAGCGUUGUCCGGAAUUACUGGGUGUAAAGGGAGUGUAGGCGGGAAAGCAAGUCAGAAGUGAAAACUAUGGGCUCAACCCAUAGCCUGCUUUUGAAACUGUUUUUCUUGAGUGAGGCAGAGGCAAGCGGAAUUCCAAGUGUAGCGGUGAGAUGCGUAGAUAUUUGGAGGAACACCAGUGGCGAAGGCGGCUUGCUGGGCCUUUACUGACGCUGAGGCUCGAAAGCGUGGGGAGCAAACAGGAUUAGAUACCCUGGUAGUCCACGCCGUAAACGAUGAUAACUAGGUGUGGGGAGCGAACCUUUCCGUGCCGGAGUAAACACAAUAAGUUAUCCACCUGGGGAGUACGGCCGCAAGGCUGAAACUCAAAGGAAUUGACGGGGGCCCGCACAAGCAGUGGAGUAUGUGGUUUAAUUCGAAGCAACGCGAAGAACCUUACCGGGUCUUGACAUCGAGUGAAAGGCUAAGAGAUUAGUCCCUCUCUUCGGAGACACGAAGACAGGUGGUGCAUGGUUGUCGUCAGCUCGUGUCGUGAGAUGUUGGGUUAAGUCCCGCAACGAGCGCAACCCUUAUCAUUAGUUGCUACGCAAGAGCACUCUAAUGAGACUGCCGUUGACAAAACGGAGGAAGGUGGGGAUGACGUCAAAUCAUCAUGCCCCUUAUGACCUGGGCUACACACGUACUACAAUGGCAAUUAACAAAGAGCAGCGAAACUGCGAGGUGGAGCGAAUCUCCAAAAAUUGUCUCAGUUCGGAUUGCAGGCUGCAACUCGCCUGCAUGAAGUCGGAAUUGCUAGUAAUCGUGGAUCAGCAUGCCACGGUGAAUACGUUCCCGGGCCUUGUACACACCGCCCGUCACACCAUGGGAGUCGGUAACACCCGAAGCCUGUAGUCUAACGCAAGAGGACGC